RNAcentral lists this long non-coding RNA (617 nucleotides) under Nicotiana benthamiana. Its description in RNAcentral is "long non-coding RNA (NBEN_LNC037491)". Lineage: Eukaryota; Viridiplantae; Streptophyta; Magnoliopsida; Solanales; Solanaceae. The record is from RNAcentral.
GCUUCAAGCUAAAACUCUUAGACAUUCACUCUAAAUAGACUUCUAUUUUAUAACACUUUUUGAGUAUUAAGAAACUUAUAUGGAAUUCUUAACCAUGUGAGUUUGUUUAUGAUUUAUGCUACGUUGACAAAUCAGAUAAAGUUUAAUUUUUUGAUGGUAUUGUAGGUGAAGCAAAUAAACAAUGGGUUGAUGAAUGCCAUGAAGACCUUAAGAGUAUUGGUUGAUUGUUGCUAGAUCUUCAAAAGUUUAGGGAUAUUUUUUUAGAACUCUUUGCAACAUUAUCUAAGCUAAAGUAGGCUUCAACUGUCUAUUAGUAUUGUACAUUUUAUUCUUAUAAAUGGAUGCUUGUUGAAUUUUUUAUGUGUGUAUCUGUUAUGAUUCAUAUAAAUUGUAGAACGUUAUGAUAUUCUAUAGUAUAGGUAAAUAGUUAUUGCCAUAGCUUCUAAUAACCGUUGCGAUAACCCCAAAAUAACCGUUGUGAUAGCCUCAAAAUAACCGUUGUCAUAGCUCACAAAGCCGUUGCUAUAAGCUCCACGACUGUUGCCAAAGAUGAUAUUGGAACAUUUUUGAACCGUUUCAAUAAACAAGCUAACCGUUGCUAUUGUAUCGUCAAUAGC